GCGUAUGGAUACGCGGAGGGACAUUACAGAGUCGUAAAAAACUCCCAAACCCAUGUGAACUAUACCUAUGUUGCCUCGGCAGGGUCUGCAGGAGCACCUUUGGUGUUACCCCGUAUCUUUACCAAGUUACCCUGUAACCACCCGGGGUUACCCUGUAGCUUUACCAAGUUACCCUGUAACCACCCGGGGUUACCCUGUAGCGCCUGCCGGCGGACCAUUCAACUCUUGUUAUACCGAAAUCUGAGCGUCUUAUCAAAUAAGUCAAAACUUUCAACAACGGAUCUCUUGGUUCUGGCAUCGAUGAAGAACGCAGCGAAAUGCGAUAAGUAAUGUGAAUUGCAGAAUUCAGUGAAUCAUCGAAUCUUUGAACGCACAUUGCGCCCAUUAGUAUUCUAUUGGGCAUGCCUGUUCGAGCGUCAUUUCACCACCUAGGCACUGCUUAGUGUUGGGAUUCCACCCCCUCGGUGGUUCCUCAAAUCCAACGGCGGAGUCGCAGUUAUCUCUGAGCGCAGUAAUUUUUAUCACGCUUUGGAAGGUGCUGCGGUCCCUGCCGUUAAACCCCCCAUUUUUUAAAAGGUUGACCUCGGAUCAGGUAGGAAUACCCGCUGAACUUAAGCAUAUCAAAACGGGGGAGAGAAAA
Molecule: ribosomal RNA, 640 nt
Filed under: Ciferriascosea fluctamurum
Lineage: Eukaryota; Fungi; Ascomycota; Sordariomycetes; Amphisphaeriales; Phlogicylindriaceae
Description: eukaryotic LSU rRNA
Rfam family: 5.8S ribosomal RNA (bases 266-419)
Source: RNAcentral